UACGUAGGGUGCGAGCGUUAAUCGGAAUUACUGGGCGUAAAGCGUGCGCAGGCGGCGCGUUAAGACAGGUGUGAAAGCCCCGAGCUUAACUUGGGAAUUGCGCUUGUGACUGGCGUGCUGGAGUGUGGCAGAGGGAGGUGGAAUUCCACGUGUAGCAGUGAAAUGCGUAGAUAUCUGGAGGAACACCGGUGGCGAAGGCGGCAUCCUGGACCAAUAUUGACGCUGAGGAGCGAAAGCCAGGGGAGCAAACGGG
RNAcentral lists this ribosomal RNA (253 nucleotides) under uncultured bacterium. Its description in RNAcentral is "partial 16S ribosomal RNA". It matches the Rfam family "Bacterial small subunit ribosomal RNA", at positions 524 to 776 of the family's 1533-position model. The record is from RNAcentral.